AAGGUAGAGGCGCAGGGUUCAAGAGUAUUUUCGGAUGUACGGAGAGUGCCGGUUCGGAAAGAAAGGGAAGACUGCCGAAGGAAUUUUCGCUGCACUCAAAGCAAAAUUCCUGGGAUACAGCAGAAGAUGCUGUGUACUGUCACGAAAUGUGGAGCGCUAUCG
RNAcentral lists this non-coding RNA (162 nucleotides) under uncultured Blautia sp. Its description in RNAcentral is "Lysine riboswitch". It matches the Rfam family "Lysine riboswitch aptamer". Rfam says of the family: Riboswitches are metabolite binding domains within certain messenger RNAs that serve as precision sensors for their corresponding targets. Allosteric rearrangement of mRNA structure is mediated by ligand binding, and this results in modulation of gene expression. The record is from RNAcentral. Lineage: Bacteria; Bacillati; Bacillota; Clostridia; Lachnospirales; Lachnospiraceae.